CCCGGACAGGCUUCGUGAAUCCAUCAAUGAGGCUACUGGAGGAGUCCUGGAUGACAUAAGACACUACUCCUUCCAUCGAUCCCUUGCACAAUGACCCAUCAACAUUAAGCUUAAAGGAACCGGCUUUCGGAGCUUGCUAGGCAUCCGGUUUAGUACCAGAAAAAUAAAGUUGUUGCUCUCUUUCCAUACUUGCCAAAGGAGGUUUCUGAUCGUUUCCAAAGACGAGAGGUUGAUUUCCGAGUGGUUCCAUACCCUUGCAGUCCAAGGAUAGAGGAGAUGAGUGUGUAUGACCAUUUCCACCUUAUCUCGGCAAA
Molecule: long non-coding RNA, 314 nt
Organism: Eucalyptus grandis
Lineage: Eukaryota; Viridiplantae; Streptophyta; Magnoliopsida; Myrtales; Myrtaceae
Exons: 3
Source: RefSeq, a predicted model, not a curated record